CAGUAGCCACGGUAAUACGGAGGGGGCUAGCGUUGUUCGGAAUUACUGGGCGUAAAGCGCACGUAGGCGGCUUGGUAAGUUAGAGGUGAGAGCCCGGAGCUCAACUCCGGAAUUGCCUUUAAGACUGCCGAGCUAGUAGGUGAGAGAGGUAAGUGGAAUUCCGAGUGUAGAGGUGAAAUUCGUAGAUAUUCGGAAGAACACCAGUGGCGAAGGCGGCUUACUGGCUCAUACUGGACGCUGAGGUGCGAAAGCGUGGGGAGCAAACAGGAUUAGAUACCCGGGUAGUCCCUGUCUCUUAUAC
This 301-nucleotide ribosomal RNA is filed under the name uncultured bacterium. Its description in RNAcentral is "partial 16S ribosomal RNA". It matches the Rfam family "Bacterial small subunit ribosomal RNA", at positions 509 to 807 of the family's 1533-position model. The record is from RNAcentral.